GAGCUCUUGGUCUAGUGGCUAUGACUCCUCGUUGACGUCGAGGCGAUCCCCGGUUCGAGUCCGGGAGGGCUCA
RNAcentral lists this transfer RNA (73 nucleotides) under Candidatus Woesearchaeota archaeon CG08_land_8_20_14_0_20_43_7. Its description in RNAcentral is "tRNA-Val". It matches the Rfam family "tRNA". From Rfam's summary of the family: Transfer RNA (tRNA) molecules are approximately 80 nucleotides in length. The record is from RNAcentral. RNAcentral also lists the same sequence under 1 other name. Lineage: Archaea; Nanobdellati; Candidatus Woesearchaeota.